This 79-nucleotide transfer RNA is filed under the name Paludibacteraceae bacterium. RNAcentral's name for it is "tRNA-OTHER". It matches the Rfam family "tRNA". From Rfam's summary of the family: Transfer RNA (tRNA) molecules are approximately 80 nucleotides in length. Their secondary structure includes four short double-helical elements and three loops (D, anti-codon, and T loops). Further hydrogen bonds mediate the characteristic L-shaped molecular structure. tRNAs have two regions of fundamental functional importance: the anti-codon, which is responsible for specific mRNA codon recognition, and the 3' end, to which the tRNAs corresponding amino acid is attached (by aminoacyl-tRNA synthetases). tRNAs cope with the degeneracy of the genetic code in two manners: having more than one tRNA (with a specific anti-codon) for a particular amino acid; and 'wobble' base-pairing, i.e. permitting non-standard base-pairing at the 3rd anti-codon position. The record is from RNAcentral. Lineage: Bacteria; Pseudomonadati; Bacteroidota; Bacteroidia; Bacteroidales; Paludibacteraceae.
GGUUCGGUAGUAUAGUGGUAUUAACACCUGUGCGUUAUAUUCCUUGCGGGAGACGCUGGUUCGAAUCCAGCCCGAAUCU